This is a long non-coding RNA of Oncorhynchus nerka (sockeye salmon), 214 nucleotides long. RefSeq lists it as uncharacterized. The transcript is spliced from 3 exons. The record is from RefSeq and is a predicted model, not a curated record. Lineage: Eukaryota; Metazoa; Chordata; Actinopteri; Salmoniformes; Salmonidae.
CAGCAUUUGUGGUGUCCCAGUUCCUUUAUUGUUCCUGUUGUUAAUUGGCUAAAGAGACUCCAUGACCAUGUUGACCAGUCUUCUGCUUCUCAGUGCUGCCUUUGCUCUGGGAGAUGCAAAUUCAUUGCUAGAAGAAGACUUGUGUCCUUCCGCUUGGACCAAAUAUGGAUCACGCUGUUUAAUGUUUGUAAAGACUACAAGGAGCUGGCCUGAA